This 254-nucleotide ribosomal RNA is filed under the name uncultured bacterium. RNAcentral describes it as "partial 16S ribosomal RNA". It matches the Rfam family "Bacterial small subunit ribosomal RNA", at positions 524 to 776 of the family's 1533-position model. The record is from RNAcentral.
UACGUAGGGCGCAAGCGUUGUCCGGAAUUAUUGGGCGUAAAGAGCUCGUAGGCGGUUUGUCGCGUCUGUCGUGAAAGCUUGGGGCUUAACCCCAAGUCUGCGGUGGAUACGGGCAGACUAGAGGCAGGUAGGGGAGAACGGAAUUCCCGGUGUAGCGGUGAAAUGCGCAGAUAUCUGGAGGAACACCGGUGGCGAAGGCGGCAUCCUGGACCAACACUGACGCUGAGGGAGCGAAAGCCAGGGGAGCAAACGGG